CUCGCGCUUUGUGGCAGUCACAGAAGCUUUUCUAGGGUUUACGAAGUUCUGAUUCACAGUUCAAGAUGGUUCUUCAAAACGAUAUUGAUUUGCUCAAUCCUCCGGCCGAUCUCGAGAAGAGGAAGCACAAGCUCAAGCGCCUCGUGCAGUCUCCUAACUCAUUUUUUAUGGAUGUGAAAUGCCAGGGCUGCUUCAACAUGUAAGCUCUUUUAGAUUCUUCUGUACAUGCAUGCUAUAAUCUUAUCAUUAUGUAUAAGAAAGAACGUUUUGAAACCUACCCUUUUUGUGCAUAGUUCAAGAGUAUAGUUUCCAGGGAGCUAAAACUGUCUUUUGAGCGCGUAACAGUUCUGUUCUUGAUUUGUUUAGCAAUAUGUUAUUUUUAUUGUAGCUUAGAAGUAUUUAGGAGCUGAGAUCAAUUAGCAGAUGUGAAAAUGGUGAUAAAAGUUUAGGAAUUGGGAAGAAUAGAGAGAAAGAGCAAGAGGGAGAGAACAGAGUAAGGAGUUUGGGAAGUAAUUCAUUACUGGCUAUUUAUACUAAUUAUUCUUGUAGAGAAGAACUACAGAAAUACAACUAUUCUAAUGAAUUCAAAACGAUAACAACUAUCUUAAUCAACUCUAAAAAAGACUGAUUUCAAUCUCAAUUUGAAACAAAGUAGUGCAUCUAUAAUUACUACUACUAUUAUUAUUGUUAUCACCACCAUCCUUGUAUUAAAAUUUUAUAUAUGUGGCAGAACUACUGUGUUUAGUCACUCGCAAACAGUGGUGGUGUGUGGGAAUUGCCAGACAGUAUUGUGCCAACCAACUGGUGGGCGUGCAAGGCUUACAGAGGGUUGCUCUUUCAGGAGGAAGGGUGAUUGAAGAUGAAAGAUGAUAUGUUGCUUUUUCUUGGUAAAUGCAAGUAGAAUUCUUUUUAAAGGAUGAUGGUUUCGACAAAGGAAUGGGAGCACUUUUGGCCUUCAAUUGUUUUUUUUGGUGCUAUUUUGUUAGCAAAUAUCUCUACUUUAUUGUUGCUAUCUGAUUUUGUGUUGCAUUGCUGCACUCAAAAUCUGGUGUUGUGUGAAAAUCUCAGAUAAUAUUAUAUCUCUCAAAAUGUUAUUAUCUUUGGCUAAUUUUAUCUGAUUAUCAUUUUUUCUGUUCUGUUGUCUCCACUUUAACUUAAGCUUUAUGGCUUUGUAUGCCCCAUUCAGUGUUUGGAAUUUAGUUGAGGUGUAGCGGGACUGGAAAUUGAAAUUAAUUAUCCAGGAUUUUAAAGUUAGAAAAAAGUGUGGAAUGCACUGUGCACAUUCAUUGUGAAUCAGAUGCAUAGGUUUGUUCUCUUUUUUCCAAUUGGAAUCUUGAGCUGGGACUUUUCUGCACUAAA
This 1359-nucleotide unclassified non-coding RNA is filed under the name Hevea brasiliensis (rubber tree). The record is from RNAcentral. Lineage: Eukaryota; Viridiplantae; Streptophyta; Magnoliopsida; Malpighiales; Euphorbiaceae.